RNAcentral lists this ribosomal RNA (805 nucleotides) under marine metagenome. RNAcentral's name for it is "bacterial SSU rRNA". It matches the Rfam family "Bacterial small subunit ribosomal RNA", at positions 8 to 859 of the family's 1533-position model. The record is from RNAcentral.
AGAGUUUGAUCCUGGCUCAGGAUGAACGCUGGCGGCGUGCUUAACACAUGCAAGUCGAACGAACCUUCGGGUUAGUGGCGGACGGGUGAGUAACGCGUGAGAAUCUGCCCUCAGGAGGGGGAUAACGGUUGGAAACGACCGCUAAUACCCCAUAUGCCUACUGGUGAAAUGAAUUUCGCCUGAGGAUGAGCUCGCGUCUGAUUAGCUAGUUGGUGAGGUAAUAGCUCACCAAGGCUUCGAUCAGUAGCUGGUCUGAGAGGAUGAUCAGCCACACUGGGACUGAGACACGGCCCAGACUCCUACGGGAGGCAGCAGUGGGGAAUUUUCCGCAAUGGGCGAAAGCCUGACGGAGCAACGCCGCGUGAGGGACGAAGGCCUCUGGGCUGUAAACCUCUUUUCUCAAGGAAGAAGAUAUGACGGUACUUGAGGAAUAAGCCACGGCUAAUUCCGUGCCAGCAGCCGCGGUAAUACGGGAGUGGCAAGCGUUAUCCGGAAUUAUUGGGCGUAAAGCGUCCGCAGGCGGCUUUUCAAGUCUGCUGUUAAAGCGUGGAGCUUAACUCCAUCAUGGCAGUGGAAACUGAAAGGCUUGAGUAUGGUAGGGGCAGAGGGAAUUCCCGGUGUAGCGGUGAAAUGCGUAGAUAUCGGGAAGAACACCAGUGGCGAAGGCGCUCUGCUGGGCCAUUACUGACGCUCAUGGACGAAAGCCAGGGGAGCGAAAGGGAUUAGAUACCCCUGUAGUCCUGGCCGUAAACGAUGAACACUAGGUGUCGGGGGAAUCGACCCCUUCGGUGUCGUAGCUAACGCG